This 1858-nucleotide long non-coding RNA is filed under the name Nicotiana benthamiana. RNAcentral describes it as "long non-coding RNA (NBEN_LNC027262)". The record is from RNAcentral. Lineage: Eukaryota; Viridiplantae; Streptophyta; Magnoliopsida; Solanales; Solanaceae.
UAUCUCGCUUUUUAAUCACUCUUCUCAAACUAGGGUUCAUCCAAAACUCUUUUCAAAGAUUUUUCUAAGUUAUUAACAUUUAUUAAAUCAUUUCUUCUUCACCUCGACUUAUUUUUACAUGAGUUUUCAAACCAUAGUUGAUUCUAUGUGAUAUACUGGGUUUUUCGAUCUUUGCUUAGAUUUUGGGUCUUUCCGAGUUACCAAUCGUAUUAAUUUACUUUAUAAUUUUGACUUAAGCAUUUUUUUACUUGUUAAAUCCAGUAGUUUUGAUUCUACCCUAAUUAAUCUCUGUUAAGGAUUUGAAUAUGCUUUUUUCGACUAAGUUCUAUGUUUCUAUGAGGUUUUACUUAGUCUGGUUUCUAUUUAUGAAAGCUGAGUAAUUCUUUCUAGAAAUCACCACUCUUUUGAAAAGGCUUGCUAAUUGCUUUAAUCUGUUAAUGAUUCGUACGCAUAGACUUUAUUUGUUUCCUUGUUUGUAACCUUUAUUGGUCAUUUUUGCCUUAAUUACUUGCCUGUAUAAGUUUGGGAUUCUUACUGAUUGUUUAUUUGGUAUGAUUUGGUCUCCUUUGCCUUAGUUAAACCCAUGUUGUUACCGUUAAUGAAUUACCCCUAAUUAGUGGGUCUAUUCCAGACUCACUUAUGUUAAUUGAUUGUGUGACCCUAUGAUUGCCGUUAAUUGACUAAUUGCUGAUUCUUUUACCUUAUUUGUGCUACUCUUGAACUGGUAUAUAAGCACUUUUAUUUUACCUCUCCAAAAGGACAAACACUAUGUUCAGAAUUCACACACUCACACUCAAACUCUCUCUUCUUUCUCUGUUACUUGUGAUAACAAUUGGUCUAGCCAACUGAAAGCUAAGGCUAGACAUUGGAACUACACUUGCUUUACAUUCUUCACUUUCUUCUUUAACUAGUAUGUCUCUAGUUAACUUUUGAAUCUCAAACUCUAUGGGUUCCUUUCCUGCACUAGUUUAAUUGGCUAUGUUCAACUUGUUUCCCUGUUUACUGCUUUAUUUAGCAUGUCUAAGGCUUGUCUUCUAUUGUUCAAUGUGUAAUCAACAUGUCUAAACUUCACUUGGUUAUUUGAUACUUGUCCAGCAUGUUUACCUAGUCCCUGUUUAUCACCCUUUUAGCUAGUGUGAUCAUGUUAGUUACUUAGUCUCCUAAUGCAUUUGAUUAGUCCUAAUUGUAUGCCCAAUUCUGUCCUGUACACCCUUGUCUUCAAUAUGAUUUUGCUAUAUCCUUACUCAAUGUUUCAACUUCCUGUUGCCAUGACUGACUUGUUCAAUGGACUCUGAGUUGUUCUGUGCAUUUGUCAUAUCAAAUGUUUCCUUGUUUAUGUGAUUUCAACCCUAUAUGUUCCCAAUCCCCUUCACCCUUAUUUGUAAGUCUGCUUGUUAAGUGUCUGUGAAGUUGGUAUGCUAUGAUUAAUUGGGUUGUUUGCUGAGUAUGCUUUCCUAAAAAAAUAAUUUCAAAACUAUUGCUCCUACUUUAAUAUUCAUCUAAAAACUGGUCACUCCUAGUAUCUUUUAAAAAUUGUUUUUUGUUUCUGAAUCUUUUCUCUACACCGUUUUACUAAAUCUUUAAAACUAUGUCAAACACACUCACUUUACUCUUAGACUAUUAGGCUAUGGCCCUCUGGUGUGUGUACUGCUUAGGGAUCCUUGAGAUCCCUCUAAACUAUGGCACACCAGGGUUGGCCCUUCCACACUGUACACAACUAAUCCCUAUUUGAGAAAGGUCUUGGUUUGAGCAUUGCUCGGGGAUUUAUGAGGUCCUUAGGGAACUCUGACACAACAAGACACACUAUCGGCUGUGAGAUCUUUGGCUUCUGAGACGCCUGGCAUCCCCAUGUUUACUU